Molecule: non-coding RNA, 24 nt
Filed under: Arabidopsis thaliana (thale cress)
Lineage: Eukaryota; Viridiplantae; Streptophyta; Magnoliopsida; Brassicales; Brassicaceae
Source: RNAcentral
AGCGGGCUGCAGCUUGUUGAUAGU